This is a long non-coding RNA of Mercurialis annua (annual mercury), 552 nucleotides long. RefSeq lists it as uncharacterized. The record is from RefSeq and is a predicted model, not a curated record. NCBI's taxonomy places the organism in Eukaryota, Viridiplantae, Streptophyta, Magnoliopsida, Malpighiales, Euphorbiaceae. The transcript is spliced from 2 exons.
UUUACAUUAUGUUUUUUCCUUUGAAAUCUUCUAAAUUCUCUCCCAUCUUCCAUUUAUUCUCCAAAGUUGUCUUCUAGCUGUGCCGUCUCAAACACCGCUGCAUAAUAAGUACGGCAACCGGAGCUCAAAUAUAGAGAGCUCCCAACAACCACUUCAGGUGCAAUCUAGAAAAGCAUCUCUCAGCCCAAUCAUUGGUCCCUGGCUCAAGCAAUCAGCUGAAUGAUAGAAAUGCCAUGUACCGAGACCAACCGACGACAUCUUAGCUCCGGUCUUCAAUUCGAAGAAAAUUUGGGCGUGUGCUUCUCGUUGACGAGGAGGAGACGUAGGCCGCGAAUGAGCCAUUGAUUUUUCUAGUGUUAUUUUCUUUUCUUGUUUUCUUUGCUUGAGAUGAGAAGCAUGACAAACAACUCAUUCUUCAACUAUUGCAUUGUAUUUUAUUCUUUACAAGUAAUUUCUUGAUUCCACCGAUUCAAUUCUUUUGUUAUUGGUAUUGGUGAUUUGUUCGGUGGCUUUAGGGUGGUGAUUUUAUCAAUAUGAUUAAUGAUUUCGCUA